CCUCGCGGGGCGCCGCGCCUCCUGUGGGGGCCGCACCGCUGCCUGAGGGCGCCGGGCGCUCGCGUCGCUCCUGGGUCCGCGGCCCCGACGGCGCCUUUGUUCGCCGCCAGCCUGUCCCCUCACACCUCCUCCUCUCCUGCAGAGCAUCCCAGCACGUCGCGGGCCCCCAUCUCCAGCCCCCGGUAGUGGGCUCUCAGCACUUGAUGCUCCAGCUACCUGGGUCCCGCAGCUUUUCCCUGGUCCUGACAGCUGGGUGAAGAGGACAAUUUCUGAUCUGCCUUUGACAGACCAGGUUGCCUCUAACCUGCUGCUACAAUGAACAUCUUUGUGCCUGUCCCCUUAUGAACCUGGGCUCAAGUUUCUCUGGGAUGCACCCCUGGAAUGGAUUACUGGAUCAUAUUCAUUUCCAAUCAUGAAGGAGAGGACUGAUAAACUGUCCAUGGAAUGAAAUUAAAGCUGCCAUCUAAAUUAUUCUCUGUUUCCCUCAAUGACAGAAUCUAUUGGUGAUGGUUAGUUUUAUGUAUCAAUUUGGCUAAGCCACAGUGUCGAGAUAUUUGGUCAAAUAUUAUUCUAAGUGUUUCUGUGACGGUAUUUUCCAGAUGAGUUUAAUGUUUAAAUUGGUGAUUUUUGAGAAAAGCAGAUUGGCCUCCAUAAUGUGGGUGGGCUUCAGCUAAUCAGUUGAAGGCCUUAAUAGAACAAAGACUGACCUCCCCUGAGUAAGAAGGAAUUCUGCCAAAGGAGUGCCUUUGGACUAGAACUGCAAUUCUACCCUGGGGCUUCAGUUUGAUGGCCUAACCCUGUCGAUCUGGUGGUUCUGUCUCUCUGGGGAACCCUGAGUAAUACACUAUGCUUACCCAGGCAUUUGGGUAACCAACUCCUAGAAAACAGCAAAGUAAAACCAAGUAUAUCCUCUGAAAGAAUUUACAGUCUUCAGAUAACCUUUGCACUUGCUCAAAUACCCCAUUGGCUACUUCCAGUGAUUGUGGUCUCCUUUGUCACCAUCCUCUUUUCAGAGGUAGAUACUUCAUCUCUUUGUGUGUGAAUUUGGACACUGCAGAAAGAGGCAAACUAUGACCUAAUUUCAAAAAAUCUUUAAAAGGUCUUAACAGUAUCCCACCACAACUUUAGUCUAGAAAGACCCAGAAAGGCUUAUUAAAAGACUGCCCAGAAUGGAUGCUUGGUUGGCUAAACAAAGGACUAGAACUCAGGUCUUCUGACUUCUGGACUUUGUCCCUUCAGGCUAUAAUUUUGUGUCUCUUUAUAUGCAGAUUUUUACAUAGUUCUGUUCUAGACAUUGUAAGAAUAAAAGCCUGUGACUGCAAGGAACUUAAAAUCUAGUUAAUUGAGCAAGAACAUGUGAAGAAUAUAAUAAUAAUACAUGACAAAUAGCAAAUAGAAUACUGGGUAUAAUUAAGAGACGAAUGAAAGCUAUAGAAAAUAAGUACUAAAUAUUUGAAGUAGAGAGAUUAUUUCAGGCUGAGUUUCCAGGGAAGGAUUAAUGAAGAAGACUAGGUACUGAGAAUGGACAUCCUACAGAAGUUUACAAUCUAGAUGGGGUAAUAAGAUACAAAAAAUGCUAGUAAUACGUGCUCACACACCUAAUGCACACAAUGCUAGAAUGAAAAGUUCAGGUCAAAAGAGGCAGAGGAGUCAUAGGGAAAAAUACCCUCAUGGUUUGGAAUUGGGGAAGUUUCUUGCAGGAAAUGGAUUUUGUGUUUGUUCUCUUAGAAUAUGUAGGAUUAUGACAGAUACUUUGGGUAGGGGGUUGAUCACAGGAUAUACCAAGAUCAAAAAAGCAGGAAUCAUGAUGGCAAGUUCAGGAGACAGUGAGAACAUGUUGAAACACAAAAUUAAUUAUACAAGUAUUUACUGAGCAUUUAUUAUAUGUGAGAAAUUUAAAUUAGGCCCAAAUUACAGAGGAUCAUGAGAGCUAGACUUUCAGAUUAAAAUCUCUCAUAAACAAUGAAGGAUCUUCAGCCUUGAUGAUUUUUGAACAGGGUGAAAUGUUAUUUUAAAAAUAUGAUUAAGAUAACUAUACCCAGUGGGGACAGAGAGAAGGAUGAACUUUUGGAAGGUCACUGAAAUGACCCAAGUCUAACGUGAUGAUGGUCUGGCCUAUUGGUGGUAACAGAAUUGUAGAUCCAAGAGUGUGGUUUUACAAUAUUUGAGAUUAUAAUUCUCCAGAACACAAGUAUAUGAGUCUUCCCUUGUGGGUUACUCCAGCCACCAGUGGGGUACCUUAAGUAGGUUAUCCAUGUGAAACACAGUGCCAGUUUAUUAUUGGGUUGGGCCAAUGUCUAAUACCUUCUUGUAGAGCUAUGAUAAAGCUUGGUUGGACUCCAUAGCAUAAGCAUUGUGUUAGUCAAUGUGAGCUGCUAUAACAAAAUAUCGUAGACUGGGUGGUUUACAACCGAAACUUAUUUUCUCACAGUUCUUGAGGCUGGAAGUCUGAGAUCAGGGGGGCAGCAGGGUCAAGUUCUGGUGAAGAUACUCUUCCUGGCUUGCAGACAGCCCAGCUAUUUGCUGUGUUCUUAUCUUGCGGAAAGAGAAAGAUCUCCCUCUCUCUUCUUCUUGUUAUAAGGCCACCAAACCUACUGGAGUAGGACCCCACUCUUAUAACUUCAUUUAACCUUAAUGACCUCCUCCAGGCCCAAAUAUAUCCAAAUAUAGUCACACUGGAGGCAAGAAGUUCAUUUGAAACAAAAAUAUACAUUAGAUAAUUUAUAAUGAAGAGAAAUUUUGCAAAAUGAAAAAUAAAGCUAAAUAUAGUAUUUUCAAUAAUACACAAGAUAUAUCUGUCAAAGAGAAAUUUAGAUUUGUGAUGCUUUUAAGAAAUAAAUUGUUGAAGUCAUGGUGUUUUUUUACAGCUAUUUCUGUAGCAGGAUAUGAAUAACUAAGAGUUUCUAUGCUUACUAUCUGAAAAAUCAAGUCAUUUAUAUAUGAGAAAUUAUAGAAUAAAAAUAAUAAGGUCUUACUGAGUUAAUUAUCACAAGAUUGGUAGGUAAAUUUAAUCACCUUUUACAACAUAGGAUUCAAUGUUAAGUGAACAAACACACAUUUCCAAAACAAAUGUAGUUUCCCAUAACAAAUAAUCAUUGCCUUGAAGUUAUAAGUGAAAAUUCCUUGGAACUAUAAAAAGUAUUUUCACUGUUUUAUGAAAGCACUUUGACUUUCUUAGCAAACAAACAGAUAAAAAUUAAAUGGUAAAUAAACAGGUAAAAAUUUUAUGGUAAAAAGAUAUAGAUUAAAAUAGAUAUAACCUAAAUUUUUUUGGUUUGGAAUUAUAAAUAUCCAACAAACUGCUUGUUAUCUAAGACAAUAUAGUGGUUAGUUCAAGGCUCUGUUCAAAAACAUAUAUGGCAAUAGUCUCAUUCUUUCAAGAUUUGUCAUUAAAUUCCUAACUGAGACUUGCAGAAUCUGAUUUCAGAUAUAUUUUUGCAGCCAGAGUUGAAAUAACAAAUAUGAGGUUUAUACUUUCUAUUUCCACAUAGUAAAAAGAUAAACAUCACUGAGUCUGCAUUGGGAUAUAUAGCAUACACAUAUGAAAUCUAAAUAUUAGGGGUUUCACAUACUCUUUUUACUAUUUUUAUUUUCAAAGAUAUCCUAGUAGUACCAAUGUAGCCAAGAAAUUUAAAGUAAAUUACAUUUUAUUUUGAAAUUAAAAAUGAGGUUUAAAUGAUUUAUCCUUUACAAAUGGACCUUAGAAAUGCAAAAAUGGAAGGAAACAUUCUAUGUUUUUGUUGGAAUUUUCAUUUGUUUUCUUUACACAGAGUAAAGCAUUUUCAUAAAAAACACUUUAAAGUUCUUCCUUGGAGACAACAACAGAAAUAAAUUAAAAAAUUAUUUUUUAUGUUCCAACUGAACAAUGAGCACUUUGCCCGGUAAUCCUGUGAAGUCUGGCUUAAAAAUUGCACAGCGUUUGCACGACUCUAGAACAGAACUGACCUAGUUGAGGUCAAUCUGUCCUUUGGGAUUUUAUUUAAAUUGAGCAGUCUUUUCUGUGGGAAGUCCAAGCUUUUUGCCAAUUUACAGAUUUUGUAUUCUCUUGGUCACAUCGGCCUCCAAGGACACAGCCCUGCUGAAUUAUCAAGUCUACUGCUGGGGCUUGGUCUCUCUUCCCCAUGCUCCACGAUGAUCCUGAUGUGGAAGUCAGACUCUUUGAUUCCCUAAAUGCCAUGCCCAUGAACACCUGCACAUUUAGUAGAUCUGUGAAAACUUAACCCUAACAAUAAUAUACUGAAAUCACAGAAUCUCACGGUGAAGUCACAGUAAUCAAGUUUUGAUCAUGAUACUUAGAAACUAAAAUAUUAAAGAUGUGGUUGAAGGCUCUUCCACAAACCUCUCCAGUUUGGAUGCAAAGCAGCUAUUAAAUUUUUUUUUUUUUAAUUUUUUUUUUUUUUUAAAGAUUUUAUUUUUUCCUUUUU
This is a non-coding RNA of Equus caballus (horse), 4424 nucleotides long. The record is from RefSeq and is a predicted model, not a curated record. NCBI's taxonomy places the organism in Eukaryota, Metazoa, Chordata, Mammalia, Perissodactyla, Equidae.